This 253-nucleotide ribosomal RNA is filed under the name uncultured bacterium. RNAcentral's name for it is "partial 16S ribosomal RNA". It matches the Rfam family "Bacterial small subunit ribosomal RNA", at positions 524 to 776 of the family's 1533-position model. The record is from RNAcentral.
UACGGAGGGUGCAAGCGUUAUCCGGAUUCACUGGGUUUAAAGGGUGCGUAGGUGGAUUGGUAAGUCAGUGGUGAAAUCUCCGGGCUUAACUCGGAAACUGCCAUUGAUACUAUCAGUCUUGAAUAUUGUGGAGGUAAGCGGAAUAUGUCAUGUAGCGGUGAAAUGCUUAGAUAUGACAUAGAACACCUAUUGCGAAGGCAGCUUACUACGCAUAUAUUGACGCUGAGGCACGAAAGCGUGGGGAUCAAACAGG